RNAcentral lists this ribosomal RNA (254 nucleotides) under uncultured bacterium. Its description in RNAcentral is "partial 16S ribosomal RNA". It matches the Rfam family "Bacterial small subunit ribosomal RNA", at positions 524 to 776 of the family's 1533-position model. The record is from RNAcentral.
UACGGAGGGUGCGAGCGUUGUCCGGAAUCAUUGGGCGUAAAGGGCGCGUAGGUGGCCCGGUCAGUUCGUGGUGAAAGCGCGGGGCUCAACCCUGCGUCGGCCAUGAAUACUGCCGCGGCUGGAGCACUGUAGAGGCAGGCGGAAUUCCGGGUGUAGCGGUGGAAUGCGUAGAUAUCGUUUGGAACGCCAAUGGUGAAAACAGCUCGCUGGGGAUGUGCCGACGCUGAGAUACGAAAGCCAGGGGAGCGAACGGG